Molecule: ribosomal RNA, 1563 nt
Filed under: Triticum aestivum (bread wheat)
Lineage: Eukaryota; Viridiplantae; Streptophyta; Magnoliopsida; Poales; Poaceae
Description: partial small subunit ribosomal RNA
Source: RNAcentral
AUGGCGCCGCGCGGCAACCGCAGCAGCAAGAAGCCGCCGCCGCCGCCGCGGGGCAAGGGCAAGGGCAAGCGCCCCUCCGCCGCCGCCGCCGGAGACGACCCCUUCUUCGAGUCGGAGCCCAAGCGCCGCCGCGCCCGCGCGGACGAGGACAUCGAGAGCGGGGACAGCGACGACGACACCCUCGCGCUGGGCGGCGCCGUCGCGGGCGGGGAUGAGGAGGAGGAGGAGGAGGAGGAGAAGGAGACGGCCGGGGAGAAGAGGUUGCGGAUGACCAAGGAGUACCUGGAGAGGAUCGCCGACGCGGUGAAGAGGAACAAGGAGGAAGAGGAGGAGGACGACGACGAAGAUGACGACGAGGAUGAUGGUUUGCCCGGGGGGAGGCGGGUCGCCAAGCUCCUCCGGAAGAAGCAGCUCGUGGAGAGCGGCAGGCAGCGCCUGAGCCUCGCCGCAAGGGUGUUACCACCUGGCCAGCAGGAUGGAUUCAAAUUUAUAGCCAAGCACCGGCAGCCAGUGACUGCCGUUGCUUUGUCGAAGGACAGCGACAAGGGGUUUUCGGCAUCCAAAGAUGGAGUUAUCCUCCAUUGGGAUGUCGAGACCGGGCAAAGCGAGAAGUAUUUGUGGCCAACUGAAAAGGUGUUGGUUUCUCACCAUGCUAAAGCUCCUCUCUCUAAGAAGAGAAGCCAGCAGGUGCUUGCACUGGCUGUUAGUUCCGAUGGGCGAUACUUGGCCACUGGUGGCUUCGAUAGGCAUAUCCAUUUGUGGGAUGUUCGAUCACGGGAGCACAUACAGGCAUUCAGUGGACAUAGAGGGCCCGUAUCCUGUCUUGCUUUCGGCCUGGACUCUUCAGAGCUAUUCUCUGGUUCUUAUGAUCGUUCAAUAAUGCAGUGGAAUGCUGAAGAUAGAACAUACAUGCACUGCCUAUAUGGUCAUCAGGGUGAAAUAUUGACAACUGACGCACUCAGCAAAGAUAGACUUCUGACUGUAGCACGGGAUAGAACAAUGCAUCUUUGGAAGAUACCGGAGGAGUCACAGUUAGUCUUUCGUGCUCCUGCUGUGUCUUUGGAGUGCUGCUGCUUUAUCGAUGACAAGGAAUAUUUGUCUGGAUCAGAUGAUGGAAGCCUCGAGCUUUGGAGUGUUAUGAGAAAGAAACCUACUCACAUAAUAAAAAAUGCCCAUCCAGCAUUAGCUCCUAGUUCACUUGACAGUGCUGAUGAAAAGUUGCCCAAAGAAAAUGGAAUUUGUAAGCCUCAAAGCCUUUCAUCAGCUCAUUCAUGGAUUAGUGCUGUUGCUGCAAGAAAAGGUUCUGAUCUGGCUGCGUCUGGAGCAGCUAAUGGUGUUGUUCGCCUUUGGACAAUUCAACCUGAUUCAAAAGGGAUGCAGCCAUUGUUCGACUUGCCACUGGAUGGCUUUGUCAAUUCUCUUGCAAUAGCAAAAUCAGGACGCUUCAUUGUUGCUGGUGUUGGCCGAGAACCUCGUCUUGGAAAAUGGGGCCGAGUCGCAACAGCAAAGAAUGGGGUUGCAAUUCAUCGGCUCAGUCUACAAGAUGACUCUGAAGAUUUGUAA